This 68-nucleotide transfer RNA is filed under the name Mordella atrata. RNAcentral's name for it is "tRNA-Cys". Lineage: Eukaryota; Metazoa; Arthropoda; Insecta; Coleoptera; Mordellidae. The record is from RNAcentral.
GGUUUAAUAGUCAAGUAUGAUUUUAAAUUGCAAAUUUAAAGGUAAACACAAUUUACGUUUUUAAACCU